This 253-nucleotide ribosomal RNA is filed under the name uncultured bacterium. Its description in RNAcentral is "partial 16S ribosomal RNA". It matches the Rfam family "Bacterial small subunit ribosomal RNA", at positions 524 to 776 of the family's 1533-position model. The record is from RNAcentral.
UACAGAGGGGGCAAGCGUUGUUCGGAAUUACUGGGCGUAAAGGGCGCGUAGGCGGCCGCCUAAGUCAGACGUGAAAUCCCUCGGCUCAACCGGGGAACUGCGUCUGAUACUGGGUGGCUUGAAUCCGGGAGAGGGAUGCGGAAUUCCAGGUGUAGCGGUGAAAUGCGCAGAUAUCAGGAGGAACACCCGUGGCGAAGGCGGCUCUCUGGGACGGUACUGACGCUGAGACGCGAAAGCGUGGGGAGCGAACAGG